RNAcentral lists this ribosomal RNA (575 nucleotides) under uncultured archaeon. RNAcentral describes it as "bacterial SSU rRNA". It matches the Rfam family "Archaeal small subunit ribosomal RNA", at positions 1 to 610 of the family's 1478-position model. The record is from RNAcentral.
AUCCGGUUGAUCCUGGCAGAGGUCACUGCUAUCGGGGUUCGAUUAAGCCAUGCGAGUCGAGAGGGUUCAGACCCUCGGCGGACUGCUCAGUAACACGUGGAUAAUCUGCCCUAUGGUGGAGGAUAACCCCGGGAAACUGGUUUUUAUUACUCCAUAAGUCAGGAGUACUGGAAUGUCUCCUAACUGAAAGUUGCGGCGCCAUAGAUGAUUCCGUCCCCCUCUUAGGUAGUUGUUGGGGUAACGGCCCAACAAGCUUUGUAUUCGGUACGGGUUGUGGGACCACGACCCUGGAGAUGGAAUCUGAGACACGAUUCCAGGCCCUACGGGGCGCAGCAGGCGCGAAUACUUUACAAUGCAGAUACUGUGAUAAGGUAUCCCGAGUGCCCGUAACGCGGCUGUCCCAGUGUUAAAACACAUCGGAGAAGGGCGGGUCAGAUCUGUGCCAGCGCGCGUAAUACGGCGGCUCGGAGUGAUGAACACUUUUAUGGACUAAAGCGUCGUACUGAUUUUAGUCUCUAGAUUCUCCAGGCUUACUGGAAGGUCUAGAAUACUGGCAAUCGAUCGCAGUUAAAGUA